This 2069-nucleotide ribosomal RNA is filed under the name metagenome. Its description in RNAcentral is "bacterial LSU rRNA". It matches the Rfam family "Bacterial large subunit ribosomal RNA", at positions 829 to 2925 of the family's 2925-position model. The record is from RNAcentral.
CCAAUCGAACCCGGAGAUAGCUGGUUCUCCUCGAAAUAGCUUUAGGGCUAGCCUCAUGGAUCAUUGGUGGGGGUAGAGCACUGAAUGUGCGCGGGGGCCACAAAGCCUACCAAACGCUAUCAAACUACGAAUACCAUACAAUGCAGACCAUGGGAGUCAGUCCGCGAGAGAUAAGUUCCGCGGGCAAAAGGGGAACACCCCAGAUCAACCGCUAAGGUCCCCAAGUUCACGUUAAGUGGAGAAGGAUGUGGAAUUGCACAGACAACCAGGAUGUUGGCUCAGAAGCAGCCACACAUUUAAAGAGUGCGUAAUAGCUCACUGGUCGAGUGAUUGUGCGCCGAAGAUGUCCGGGGCUAAACGUGACACCGAAGCGAUGGGUGCGUCUGAAGAAGAUGCGCGGUAGAGGAGCAAUGUGCAGAGGCAGAAGCCGUAUCGAGAGGCACGGUGGACACUGCACAAGAGAGAAUGCCGGUAUGAGUAGCGAGAGGCAUGCGAGAAACAUGCCCGUCGAAAGCCCAAGGUUUCCUGGGGAAGGUUCAUCCGCCCAGGGUAAGUCGGGGCCUAAGCCGAGGACGGAAGUCGUAGGCGAUGGACAGCAGGUGUAGAUUCCUGCACUACCGAUGGAAUGAAGCAGUGACACAGAAGGAUAACUCGAGCAGGGUGAUGGUCAACCCUGUGCAAGCAUCAAGGUUGGGUUGUAGUGAAGUACGCAACCCUAUAAGCUGAGGUGUGAUGCGGACCGAAAUUUUAGUAGGGAAGCGAGUGAGUUCACGCUGGCGAGAAAAGCUGCUAGUAUAUCCAAAGGUACCCGUACCGGAAACCGACGCAGGUGGGCGAGGAGAGAAUCCUGAGACGAACGGGAGAACCCUUGUUAAGGAACUCGGCAAAAUGACCCCGUAACUUCGGGAUAAGGGGUGCCUGCGAGAGCAGGCCGCAGAGAAUAGUCACAAGCGACUGUUUAGCAAAAACACAGGUAUCUGCGAAAGCGAGAGCUGACGUAUAGGUGCUGACACCUGCCCGGUGCUGGAAGGUUAAGGGAACAUGUUAGAGCAAUCGAAGCAUCGAACCGAAGCCCCAGUAAACGGCGGCCGUAACUAUAACGGUCCUAAGGUAGCGAAAUUCCUUGUCGGGUAAGUUCCGACCCGCACGAAUGGUGUAACGACUUGUGAGCUGUCUCAACAGGGGGCCCGGUGAAAUUGAAGUAUGGGUGAAGAUGCCCAUUACCCGCGACUGGACGGAAAGACCCCGUAGAGCUUUACUGCAGCCUGAUAUUGAGUUUCGGUAACUGAUGCACAGGAUAGGUGGGAGUCUGAGAGACAUGGGUUUCGGCUCGUGUGGAGACGCUGUUGGGAUACCACUCUUCGGUUACUGAAAUUCUAACAUAGCUCUGUGAAACCAGAGGAUGGACAGUGUCAGGUGGACAGUUUGACUGGGGCGGUCGCCUCCGAAAGAGUAACGGAGGCGCCCAAAGGUACCCUCAGAAUGGAUGGAAACCAUUCGAAGAGCGCAAAGGCAGAAGGGUGCCUGACUGCGAGAUUGACAAAUCGAGCAGAGACGAAAGUCGGGCUUAGUGAUCCGGCGGUAUUGAGUGGAAAAGCCGUCGCUUAACGGAUAAAAGCUACCUCGGGGAUAACAGGCUGAUCUCCCCCAAGAGUCCACAUCGACGGGGAGGUUUGGCACCUCGAUGUCGGCUCAUCGCAUCCUGGGGCUGUAUUCGGUCCCAAGGGUUUGGCUGUUCGCCAAUUAAAGCGGCACGCGAGCUGGGUUCAGAACGUCGUGAGACAGUUCGGUCCCUAUCCAUCGUGGGCGUAGGAGUCAUGAGAGGAGCUGUUCCUAGUACGAGAGGACCGGAAUGGACGCACCACUGGUGCAACUGUUGUCGUGCCAACGGCAUAGCAGGGAAGCGAAGUGCGGAUGGGAUAAACGCUGAAGGCAUCUAAGCGUGAAGCCCACCUCAAGAAUAAGACUCCACAAUAGACCCCUGGAGGACUACCAGGUAGAUAGGUCAUCGGUGGAAGCGCUGUAAGGCGUGCAGCUUGAUGAUACUAAUCGGUCGAAAGCUUCAUUUA